AUUGAACGCUGGCGGCAGGCCUAACACAUGCAAGUCGAACGAGUGGCGGACGGGUGAGUAAUGUCUGGGAAACUGCCUGAUGGAGGGGGAUAACUACUGGAAACGGUAGCUAAUACCGCAUACCAUCAGAUGUGCCCAGAUGGGAUUAGCUAGUUGGUGGGGUAACGGCUCACCAAGGCGACGAUCCCUAGCUGGUCUGAGAGGAUGACAAGCCACACGGGAACUGAGAAGCGGUCCAGACGCCUACGGGAGGAAGCAGAGGGGAAUAGUGCACAAUGGGCGCAAGCCUGAUGCAGCCAUGCGGCGUGUAUGAAGAAGGCCUUCGGGUUAUAAAGUACUUUCAGCGGGGAGGCGUUACCCGCAGAAGAAGCAACGGCUAACUCCGUGCCAGCCGCCGCGGUAAUAC
This 406-nucleotide ribosomal RNA is filed under the name uncultured bacterium. RNAcentral describes it as "partial 16S ribosomal RNA". It matches the Rfam family "Bacterial small subunit ribosomal RNA", at positions 29 to 526 of the family's 1533-position model. The record is from RNAcentral.